ACUGGGCAUGGUGGUGCAUGCCUGUAAUCCCAGCAACUUGAGUGGCUGAGGUAGGAGGAUUAUAAGUUCGAGGCCAGCCUCACCAAUAUAGUGAGGACCUAAGCAACUUAGUGAGACCCUGUCUCAA
RNAcentral lists this small RNA (127 nucleotides) under Marmota monax (woodchuck). Lineage: Eukaryota; Metazoa; Chordata; Mammalia; Rodentia; Sciuridae. The record is from RNAcentral.